CUCAUUCGGAUUGGAGUCUGNAACCCGACUCCAUGAAGCUGGAUUCGCUAGUAAUCGCGGAUCAGCAUGCCGCGGUGAAUACGUUCCCGGGCCUUGUACACACCGCCCGUCACACCAUGGGAGCCGGUAAUACCCGAAGUCAGUAGUCCAACCUCGUGAGGACGCUGCCGAAGGUAGGAUUGGCGACCUGGGGUGAAGUCGUAACAAGGUAGC
RNAcentral lists this ribosomal RNA (213 nucleotides) under uncultured bacterium. Its description in RNAcentral is "partial 16S ribosomal RNA". It matches the Rfam family "Bacterial small subunit ribosomal RNA", at positions 1288 to 1500 of the family's 1533-position model. The record is from RNAcentral.